RNAcentral lists this ribosomal RNA (387 nucleotides) under Triticum aestivum (bread wheat). Its description in RNAcentral is "partial small subunit ribosomal RNA". Lineage: Eukaryota; Viridiplantae; Streptophyta; Magnoliopsida; Poales; Poaceae. The record is from RNAcentral.
AUGCCGAGCGGUACAGCUGCAUCGCAGCAUGCAGCAGGCGAAUGCGUCAAUGAAGCUUUGCCGGUGCGUCAAUCAAGCUUUGCCGGAGCUCCAUUGAGGCCUCGCUGGUGCGUCAAUGAAACUUCGCCGGAGGUCCAAUCAAGCUUCGACGGGGCGUCGUCCCUGCUGCGUCCUAGUAUUUUCGUCACACUCGGUGUUGCUAUGGAGCAGCAUCCGGUGGCUCUUGGUGCUGCGAUGCAGCGGUCGCCGGCGGCUCCGAUGAUGCGUGCCUACGCUGCUCUGUAUCAGAUGGAUGAGGAUUGGAGGAGAAAGGCCCAGUUUGUGUCGCGCGAUGGAACGAUCAUCGGUGCCGGAUCGAACGGAGAAAUCAUCAGCAGCCGCCACUAA